CGGUGGAGUAUGUGGUUUAAUUCGAUGCAACGCGAAGAACUUACCUGGUCUUGACAUCCCGGAGACCCUUAGGAAACUAGGGGUGCUUCCAUCUGGAAGAAUCUGGAGACAGGUGCUGCAUGGCUGUCGUCAGCUCGUGUCGUGAGAUGUUGGGUUAAGUCCCGCAACGAGCGCAACCCUUGCCUUUAGUUGCCAGCAAUUCGGCUGGGCACUCUAAAGGGACUGCCGGUGUUAAACCGGAGGAAGGUGGGGGAUGACGUCAAGUCCUCAUGGCCUUUAUGACCAGGGCUACACACGUACUACAAUGGCCGAUACAAAGGGCAGCGACACUGCGAGGUGAAGCCAAUCCCGUAAAAUCGGUCUCAGUCCGGAUUGGAGUCUGCAACUCGACUCCAUGAAGUUGGAAUCGCUAGUAAUCGUGGAUCAGCAUGCCACGGUGAAUACGUUCCCGGGCCUU
RNAcentral lists this ribosomal RNA (457 nucleotides) under uncultured Desulfobulbus sp. RNAcentral describes it as "bacterial SSU rRNA". It matches the Rfam family "Bacterial small subunit ribosomal RNA", at positions 930 to 1382 of the family's 1533-position model. The record is from RNAcentral. Lineage: Bacteria; Pseudomonadati; Thermodesulfobacteriota; Desulfobulbia; Desulfobulbales; Desulfobulbaceae.